UACGUAGGGUGCAAGCGUUAAUCGGAAUUACUGGGCGUAAAGGGCGCGUAGGCGGCGUGACAAGUCACUUGUGAAAUCUCCGGGCUUAACUCGGAACGGUCAAGUGAUACUGUCGGACUAGAGUACAGAAGGGGCAACUGGAAUUCUCGGUGUAGCGGUGAAAUGCGUAGAUAUCGAGAGGAACACCUGCGGCGAAGGCGGGUUGCUGGGCUGAUACUGACGCUGAGGCGCGAAAGCCAGGGGAGCGAACGGG
RNAcentral lists this ribosomal RNA (253 nucleotides) under uncultured bacterium. RNAcentral's name for it is "partial 16S ribosomal RNA". It matches the Rfam family "Bacterial small subunit ribosomal RNA", at positions 524 to 776 of the family's 1533-position model. The record is from RNAcentral.